AAUAUUUCACAAUGGGGUCAACCCUGAUCCAGCCAGACCGCGUGUGUGAAGAAGUUCUUCGGAUUGUACAGCACUUUAAGUUGAGAGGAAUGGCUUUCGGUUAGUACCCUGAAGUUUUGACGUUACCAUCACAAUUAUCACUGGCUACUUCGUUGCCAGCAGCCGCGGUAAUACAGAGGGUGCAAGCGUUAAUCGGAAUUACUGGUCUUAAAGCGAGCGUAGGUGGUUCAGUAAGAUGGGUGUGAAAUCCCCGGGCUUAACCUGGGAACUGCUUUCAUAAAUGCUGAGCUAGAGUACGGUAGAGGGUAGUGGAAUUUCCUGUGUAGCGAUGAAAUGCGUAGAUAUAGGAAGGAACACAAGUGGCGAAGGCGACUACCUGGACUGAUACUGACACUGAGGUGCGAAAGCGUGGGGAGCAAAC
Molecule: ribosomal RNA, 421 nt
Filed under: uncultured bacterium
Lineage: Bacteria
Description: partial 16S ribosomal RNA
Rfam family: Bacterial small subunit ribosomal RNA
Source: RNAcentral